This 431-nucleotide ribosomal RNA is filed under the name uncultured bacterium. RNAcentral's name for it is "partial 16S ribosomal RNA". It matches the Rfam family "Bacterial small subunit ribosomal RNA", at positions 29 to 507 of the family's 1533-position model. The record is from RNAcentral.
AACGAACGCUGGCGGCAGGCCUAACACAUGCAAGUCGAGCGCCCUUUCGGGGGAGCGGCGGACGGGUGAGUAACGCGUGGGAAUAUGCCCUUCUCUACGGAAUAGCCUCGGGAAACUGAGAGUAAUACCGUAUACGCCCUAUGGGGGAAAGAUUUAUCGGGGAAGGAUUAGCCCGCGUUGGAUUAGGUAGUUGGUGGGGUAAUGGCCUACCAAGCCGACGAUCCAUAGCUGGUUUGAGAGGAUGAUCAGCCACACUGGGACUGAGACACGGCCCAGACUCCUACGGGAGGCAGCAGUGGGGAGUCUUAGACAAUGGGGGCAACCCUGAUCUAGCCAUGCCGCGUGAGUGAUGAAGGCCUUAGGGUUGUAAAGCUCUUUCAGCUGGGAAGAUAAUGACGGUACCAGCAGAAGAAGCCCCGGCUAACUCCGUG